UAGGGAAAGUCUUCCACAAUGGACGAAAGUACUGAUGGAGCAACGCCGCGUGAGUGAAGAAGGGUUUCGGCUCGUAAAACUCUGUUGUUAAAGAAGAACAUAUCUGAGAGUAACUGUUCAGGUAUUGACGGUAUUUAACCAGAAAGCCACGGCUAACUACGUGCCAG
Molecule: ribosomal RNA, 167 nt
Filed under: uncultured bacterium
Lineage: Bacteria
Description: partial 16S ribosomal RNA
Rfam family: Bacterial small subunit ribosomal RNA
Source: RNAcentral